GGUGCAGGUGAUGAUUUCAAGCGACCAAAGCCUGAGAGUUUGUGAUUAGAACUUUUCUGGUAGCUGAUGCACC
Molecule: non-coding RNA, 73 nt
Organism: Haliaeetus albicilla (white-tailed eagle)
Lineage: Eukaryota; Metazoa; Chordata; Aves; Accipitriformes; Accipitridae
Source: Rfam